Long non-coding RNA from Astyanax mexicanus (Mexican tetra), 621 nucleotides. RefSeq lists it as uncharacterized. NCBI's taxonomy places the organism in Eukaryota, Metazoa, Chordata, Actinopteri, Characiformes, Acestrorhamphidae. The record is from RefSeq and is a predicted model, not a curated record. The transcript is spliced from 2 exons.
GAGCUUCUUUCACCACACACUCCAGAUAACGCAGCUUCUUCAGAUCCUCAGUGUUGAUGGGUCUCUCUGACUCACCUGAUAUCAACAGGUAUAAACCUGACCUCUUACCUCCUGCAUUGGACUUGAACUGCAGCGCGUUCCCCAGGAACGGGUACGAGACUCCGAUCCCCUGGAUGGGUUUCAGCUCCUUCCAGCUGUGCAGGUAGUGGCUCAGCAGCUGAUAGGUCAGCCAGGUGAGCAGCAGGACGCAGACGGCUGCACCUGCGAAGCCCAGCGUGUACGCACCCACUACCACCCCCAUCCUCCUGCAGUGAAGCAGCGCGAGAACCUCAGCGCUGUUUUAUUAAGCCCCAGACGAGCCCACCUGAUCCGGGAUUGGUCAGGAUCGAGCCCUGCGUCUGACUGUGAUGCGCAACAGCACCCAGCUUGCGCAACAGGCUGGAUACCGUCGGCCUAUCUGUUUAAUCUUUUACAGAGUCUGGAGUUCCAUCUGCACUGCAUGUUAUAGUGUUUUCAUUCUUAUCAAUAACACUCCCUGAUCAUCUCAGGAAGAGGCUGUUAAUGAUUGAUUGGUUGUAUCGUCUGUGCUGGAAGCUGCAAAUAAAGUCAAAUGUGUGUGUU